Long non-coding RNA from Pipra filicauda (Wire-tailed manakin), 944 nucleotides. RefSeq lists it as uncharacterized. The record is from RefSeq and is a predicted model, not a curated record. NCBI's taxonomy places the organism in Eukaryota, Metazoa, Chordata, Aves, Passeriformes, Pipridae. The transcript is spliced from 2 exons.
GUGCCAGCACAGGGACAGUCCCUGCCCUGGGGCUGUGACACACCAUGGCUGGCACAGCCCAGGGGCCAUUGGCCUCUUGCCCACCUGACCAUCUUGGCCACCACAGCAUCCGUGAGGAGAACUGCUGAAGGGAUUUGGGUUCCCAGGCUUUGGAUUCAGCUGGAAUUGUCUAUUCUGGCUCAUUGUGUGGGCACAGCAGUGCCUGUGCUGGCACCAGGGAAGAUGCACUGAGAGGAAGGGAGGGAACAGGGCAAAUUGCCUCUCCCAGCUGUAGUUUUGGGGAUGUCAUUUUAAACUCUACCCAAACCCCUGGUUUUAGCUGCAAACCUUGUACACCAAUUCUAAUUGGUCAUCCAGGAUUUUAUGAACCCCAACUGACCUGAUUUAGGAUGAGCUGAACCACUACAAAGAUACUCAUUCACCCUUGCCCUGGAGAGCCACAUGACCAAUUAGACUAAAAGCCCCAAUUUUAACUUCUAGAGGUGAGAUGAGAAGAAUUCCAUCUAUAUGACCAACGUGUGACACUCCAAAGGUGUUGUGAGCCUGGCAAAUAAAUUCCUGCAGACCAGGGAUGUGAACAGCCACAACUGUGAGGAAAGAAUUCCUGCAGAACAGGGAUGUGAACAACCACAACUGUGAGGAAAGAAUUCCUGCAGAACAGGGAUGUGAACAGCCACAACUGUGAGGAAAGAAUUCCUGCAGAACAGGGAUGUGAACAGCCACAACUGUGAGGAAAGAAUUCCUGCAGAACAGGGAUGUGAACAGCCACAACUGUGAGGAAAGAAUUCCUGCAGAACAGGGAUGUGAACAGCCACAACUGUGAGGAAAGGCUGAGCAGCUGGGAGCUGAUGGACUCAGAGCACAGCAGCUCCUUCUUGAGGGAUAUUACUUGUGCUUUCAGAACAGAGUUAUAAAGACACAAAUAAUCCACCUCCUCUGGGAAA